Long non-coding RNA from Cyprinus carpio (common carp), 674 nucleotides. RefSeq lists it as uncharacterized. NCBI's taxonomy places the organism in Eukaryota, Metazoa, Chordata, Actinopteri, Cypriniformes, Cyprinidae. The record is from RefSeq and is a predicted model, not a curated record.
GAUCGUGCAUGUCUCGUUUGUUACCUUUUGGAUCGCUUGAGCAUCGAGCCCCUAACAAAAUGAGAUUUGCUGCUGCCAGGCAACGCACUCCAGGAACUUGGAUCAGACAUAAUCGCAGACGAUUACAGUGCCAAAUGUCCAAGCAACACCGAGCUACAGAACUAGAGUCGAUUCAGGAAUACGCCUCUUGACUGGAGAAACCCGCAGCGGUUCAUCUCUGCUCUUUGUGUAACACGCUGCUGCUGCUGUUUGCCAGGACUCGCCGUGCAACUUGGUAAAAGUUUAGUCGUUUACAUUCUUGUUCAAGCAUCUUCCGAUAUCGCCUCGAGCUGGCACAAAGUUUAACUAUUUACUUUCCAAAAGUGCGACAUGCAUCGGAUAACAGGAGCGCGUGCGUCCAUGUUUGUAGUGGCGGCUGGCAAACUAACUUAAAGUGCAUUUCCGCCACCUUCUGAGAUGGAGUGUGGAGCAAUAUAAGUAAUACAGGGAUUUUAAAAAGGAGAUAAACAGCUCCAAAAUCAGUCAAGCACAUCUCAGGACCGGAGCAGGUUUAUGCUAUGUUUAGGCGUGCGAAUCGGCUGUCUUACCUCCAGGGAUGAAGGGAUUGUAAAGGACUGCAGGGGCUGCCUGGACUGCAUGGACUCAGGAUGAUGGGGCUCUGGCUGGGUGACAAA